UAUUUCUUUUGAGAAGACUCUUGAUAUUUCGUCUCUGGAAGGGCAAAAGGGAUGAUAUUUAAACUAUUUGAGCAUAUAACUGUUAAUAGUUAGUGUUAUGAGUACGAGCAAAGCUUGAAAGUGUUUGAAAAUGAUAAUUGGAGUGAGUGACUAGGGUACAUGUAGCAUGGAGGCAUGAAGGAUUUUGUUAUCUCACUCUCCACAAUAUCCUUCCUACUCUUCACUGACAUCGAAAUGCUAAGGAACAAAACCCAUGAUGUGUCUAUGUGUUACAAAGCAAAUCAAGUGGAAAAUGAACCAUAUACCAGAAGGUUUGAAGAGUGAUAAUCGUUACUGAUAUUAUACCUGGAUCACAACCAUUGAUUUCUUAAAGGUUAGCCAGAUUGCUCCAAAUGCAUAACAAUAGCAUAUUAUAACAAUGUUAGAGGUUUCUUUAUUGGUAACACCUAAGAAUAAAAUACUUCAACAUUUAAAGCAUCUACUCUAAGUUAAAUAAUUGUAUGGAAAAGAAACAUUAAUACACCUUUAGAUUUCCUUCUCUUAAAAAAAGAAAAAGAUGUUCAUUUCAUUUCAAAUAAUUAACUUGAAAUAGACUAUAGUUUACUAUCAUUUGUAUAGACACUAAAUGGAUGAAUCAACAUAAAGACUUCUUAACUAUCAAAUCCAUUAAACUACAUUUUGCAACCACAUAGUGUUGGUAAUGACUAUGGUUAAAUUGUGCCACCUGAGCCACCCUUAGCUCGAGCUGAGCCCUAUGAAUUUUUAAAGUGCAAACCCCUCCUAAUU
RNAcentral lists this long non-coding RNA (786 nucleotides) under Phoenix dactylifera (date palm). Its description in RNAcentral is "long non-coding RNA (PDAC_LNC018198)". Lineage: Eukaryota; Viridiplantae; Streptophyta; Magnoliopsida; Arecales; Arecaceae. The record is from RNAcentral.